GUGUUGUGCCAUGUUAAAGACCCUCUUGUCAUUUUUAUUAUUCAUGGAUGGACGCUAAUUCUACAAGUCAGUUUAAGUGCUAUGGAGUCCCAUUUGCACCUGGAAUGCUGGGAACAGGGGAUGGAGCAGCAAGAAGCAAUUGAAAGGAUUAGGAUGGAACCUUCCUCAAGCUUCACAGGCUUGUCUGCUGGCCACAGACACCAUUAUGUACACAGGAAAAUCAGAUCAUUAUCUAAGGCCAACAAGCUCCUCCUUGAGAUGUUCUGCCAUAUAAUCUGGAGGAAAUACUGUAAGACUUUGUCAGCACUGAGUCAUUUGCACUGGGAGUCUUACCAGAAAAAAAAAAUCUUGUCUUCUCAGAAGGUUGUUUACUGUUCUAUUCAAAGAUCAAUUUGUCAUGUCAACCCUUUCUCUAAUACAAUGGCAAGUGGCAAGAACAAACUGUACAGAAUCCUGUUUCCAAGUAUCUCUGCUGAGGUAGUUUAAAGACAUAAUGUGGGAGUUCCCGCUCAGUGGGAUGGGGAUCGCGGCAUUGCCACGGGCUGUGGUAUAGGUCGCAGACACGGCUUGUAUCCUGCAUUGUUGUGGCUGUGGUGUAGCCCAGCAGCUACAGCUCCGAUUCAAACCCUAGCCUGGAAACUUCCAUAUGCUGCAAGUAUGGCCCUAAAAAGCACAGACACACCGUGAGAGAGAGAGAUAAUGUAUAUAAAAUAUUUAGCACAAAUCCUAACAUAGUGAAUGCUUCAGGAGUAAAACUACCAGCUUUCCUAACUAUCUGAAUAUAAUCUACUUCUGAAAACAUGUGGGAAGGCAAACUGUGUGCAGCAAAAUCAAAUAUUUUAUUAUUUUAAAAGGGAAAAAUAAUAAUACAUUCUUAGUACAUGUAAAAAACAUAACAGUACGUGUUUAUUUAACAUUUAAUGAACACAUUAGUUAAUACGUUGGUGUGGAUUACAGACAGUAUCAAGUACAGAUUGCAUUUUCCUUCUACACUGCAAUAAAUAUGUGUUCUAAUGAAAAUAAGGUAAUGUG
This 1032-nucleotide long non-coding RNA is filed under the name Sus scrofa (pig). RNAcentral's name for it is "lncRNA (ENSSSCG00025026769.1)". Lineage: Eukaryota; Metazoa; Chordata; Mammalia; Artiodactyla; Suidae. The record is from RNAcentral.